Molecule: long non-coding RNA, 860 nt
Organism: Panicum virgatum (switchgrass)
Lineage: Eukaryota; Viridiplantae; Streptophyta; Magnoliopsida; Poales; Poaceae
Exons: 2
Source: RefSeq, a predicted model, not a curated record
UAAAAUGCCUAACAAAUCAAGGAAAAAUGCUAAAAAUGCAAAACUAGUUUUGUUAGCUUCAUCUUUUCAUGCUCUGUAUGAUAGAACCAUGAAAUGGGUGGAUUGACCACUUUUGCUAUGUAGUUUUGCUUAGGCUAGGGUAAAUGCUUUUAUAGCUUGUAGUGUUUGGAGGAAAGUUUAACCUGCUGUUGGGUUAAGGUUUCUGUGUUGCUUGAGUUAAUCAUGAUCAUGCCUGGAUAGCAAACCUUUGUGUUUAUGUGUUGCUUGCUUGUUGCCUGGUAAUGUUUCUAGUCUUGUCUUUCUUUUUAGUUGCACUGCAUGCCAUGGCAUCAUAAGCACCCUGCCUCAUUCCAGUGCACCACUGUUCUUCUAACUCUCGCAUGACAUCUUUUUCAUACGUAUAGACGCCAUGAACAAAGUAGCCUAUGAGUUGGUUGCUGAGCCGGUCCAGGAGCAACAAGCAGAAGAGCAGCAGGGCGUAGAAGCAGUUGAGCAAGCUCCAGGAGAAGUCGCUAAUCCUGCUGACCUGCAAGGUUGUGUCUCCGCUGACUUUAAGGAGAUCUGUGUGUCUUGGACUGGUCAUCCUCUUCCUCCUGGUUGGACAGUUGAGUGGGUCCUGUCAUCUCCAUGAAGUUCGGGUAGGUUGGCAGCACAUCGGUGGGCAAGAUGUGGAGCUCACCUUAUAUCGUUGUCUGUAGCUAUUGUGUUUUAAACUGAACUCUGUUUUAAAUUCUGCUGCGUGUUGAACUCUGUUGUUGUAUUUUCAAACUGAUAUGCAAAACCCAAUGUUGUAAAUUGAUUUGAGUUUUCUUGUAUGCUUGUAUCAUAUGUACUCGUCUUCGUGCGAGCCUCCCAGUGUA